RNAcentral lists this ribosomal RNA (544 nucleotides) under Xylariaceae sp. DAOM 242471. RNAcentral describes it as "eukaryotic LSU rRNA". The stretch from base 187 to 340 matches the Rfam family "5.8S ribosomal RNA". The record is from RNAcentral. Lineage: Eukaryota; Fungi; Ascomycota; Sordariomycetes; Xylariales; Xylariaceae.
GAGGGAUCAUUACUGAGUUAUCCAAAAACUCCCAACCCUAUGUGAACUUACCACUGUUGCCUCGGCGAGCUGCGCUACCCUGUAGCUACUUUUGUAGCGACUUGGGAGCGCGUUAUAGGCUCGCCAGAGGACCACUAAACUCUGUUUUAUUUUGUAUCUCUGAAUCUUACAACUGAAAUCAGUUAAAACUUUCAACAACGGAUCUCUUGGUUCUGGCAUCGAUGAAGAACGCAGCGAAAUGCGAUAAGUAAUGUGAAUUGCAGAAUUCAGUGAAUCAUCGAAUCUUUGAACGCACAUUGCGCCCAUUAGUAUUCUAGUGGGCAUGCCUAUUCGAGCGUCAUUUCAACCCUUAAGCCUCAGUAGCUUAGCGUUGGGAAUCUACAGGUUACAGCGUAGUUCCUUAAAGGUAGUGGCGGAGUUAGAGCACACUCUAAGCGUAGUACUUGUUUCUCGCUUCUGGUAGUGGCUUUGGCGGCCGGCCGUGAAACCCCCUAUAUUUCUAAUGGUUGACCUCGGAUUAGGUAGGAAUACCCGCUGAACUUAA